This 371-nucleotide transfer-messenger RNA is filed under the name Chitinophagales. RNAcentral describes it as "MGR-bin340 sp013816805 Standard tmRNA". It matches the Rfam family "transfer-messenger RNA". Rfam says of the family: Bacterial tmRNA, also known as 10Sa RNA or SsrA, is named for its dual tRNA and mRNA-like properties. Its role is to liberate the mRNA from a stalled ribosome. To accomplish this part of the tmRNA is used as a reading frame that ends in a translation stop signal. Lineage: Bacteria; Pseudomonadati; Bacteroidota; Chitinophagia. The record is from RNAcentral. RNAcentral also lists the same sequence under 1 other name.
GGGGCUGACCGGAAUUGACAGCAUCGUUCUUUGUAAGCAAGCAUGCUGAGCAUUGGGAGCCAAGCUCACUAAUCUUUAACUCCCGACGCCAUAGUUGGCAACUCUAAUUACGCAAUGGCUGCCUAAUCCUCAAUGUAGGAUUCAGCUGUUUGUUCCCUGCGGAUUGCGCCUGACAAGCUGCAACGGAACAUCAUAAAGUCGGGCUGGUGGUGACCUGGUUUCUUGUUCACUGCGAGAUAUAAAUAGAAAAUAAGAGAGAUGAUUGGCUUUCUUUCGCCUGUCGCUCUUCGAAAAUAAACGAAAGAAUAAGCAUGUAGAAAACUUAUGAUGGCCUUGUCUGGACGAGGGUUCAAAUCCCUCCAGCUCCACUU